GACGAACGCUGGCGGCGUGCUUAACACAUGCAAGUCGAACGGAAAGGCCCUGCUUUUGUGGGGGGCUCGAGUGGCGAACGGGUGAGUAACACGGGAGUAACCUGCGCUGGACUGGGGGGUAACGUGAGGAAACUGGGGCUAAUACCUGAUAGGAGCUCCUGCUGCAUGGUGGGGUUUGGAAAGUUUCGGCGGUUGGGGAUGGACUCGCGGCUUAUCAGCUUGUUGGUGGGGUAGUGGCUUACCAAGGCUUUGACGGGUAGCCGGCCUGAGAGGGUGACCGGCCACCUUGGGCCUGAGAUACGGACCAGACUCCUACGGGAGGCAGCAGUGGGGAAUCUUGUACAAUGGGCGGAAGCCUGAUGCAGCAACGCCGCGUGCGGGAUGACGGCCUUCGGGUUGUAAACCGCUUUCGCCUGUGACGAAGCGUGAGUGACGGUAAUGGGUAAAGAAGCACCGGCUAACUACGUG
Molecule: ribosomal RNA, 468 nt
Filed under: uncultured bacterium
Lineage: Bacteria
Description: partial 16S ribosomal RNA
Rfam family: Bacterial small subunit ribosomal RNA
Source: RNAcentral